RNAcentral lists this ribosomal RNA (493 nucleotides) under uncultured bacterium. RNAcentral describes it as "partial 16S ribosomal RNA". It matches the Rfam family "Bacterial small subunit ribosomal RNA", at positions 29 to 508 of the family's 1533-position model. The record is from RNAcentral.
AGUGAACGCUGGCGGUAGGCCUAACAAAUGCAAGUCGAACGGCAGCACAGUAAGAGCUUGCUCUUACGGAUGGCGAGUGGCGGACGGGUGAGGAAUACAUCGGACUCUACUUUUUCGUGGGGGAUAACGUAGGGAAACUUACUCUAAUACCGCCUACGACCUACGGGUGAAAGCAGGGGAUCUUCGGACCUUGCGCGAUUGAAUGAGCCGAUGUCGGAUUAGCUAGUUGGCGGGGUAAAGGCCCACCAAGGCGACGAUCCGUAGCUGGUCUGGGAGGAUGGUCAGCCACACUGGAACUGAGACACGGUCCAGACGCCUACGGGAGGCAGCAGUGGGGAAGAUGGGACAAUCGGCGCAAGCCUGAUCCCGUCAUACCGGGUGGGUGGAGAAGGGCUUCGGGUUGUAAAGCCCUUUUGUUGGGAAAGAGAAGCAGCAGGUUAAUACCCCGCUGUUCUGACGGGAGCCAAAGAGUAAGCACCGGCUAACUUCGUGC